UACGGGAGGCAGCAGUGGGGAAUAUUGCACAAUGGGGGAAACCCUGAUGCAGCCAUGCCGCGUGUGUGAAGAAGGCCUUCGGGUUGUAAAGCACUUUCAGUAGGGAGGAAGGUAGUGUAGUUAACACCUGCACUUAUUUGACGUUACCUACAGAAGAAGCACCGGCUAACUCCGUGCCAGCAGCCCGCGGUAAUACGGAGGGUGCGAGCGUUAAUCGGAAUUACUGGGCGUAAAGCGCAUGCAGGCGGCCUGUUAAGUCAGAUGUGAAAGCCCGGGGCUUAACCUCGGAAUUGCAUUUGAAACUGGCAGGCUAGAGUCUUGUAGAGGGGGUAGAAUUUCAGGUGUAGCGGUGAAAUGCGUAGAAGAUCUGAAGGAAUACCAGUGGCGAAGGCGGCCCCCUGGACAAAGACUGACGCUCAGUACUGCGAAAGCGUGGGGAGCAAACAGGAUUAGAUACCCUGGUAG
RNAcentral lists this ribosomal RNA (465 nucleotides) under uncultured bacterium. RNAcentral describes it as "bacterial SSU rRNA". It matches the Rfam family "Bacterial small subunit ribosomal RNA", at positions 340 to 793 of the family's 1533-position model. The record is from RNAcentral.